UACAUACCUACCCUACAUACAUACAUAGCCCUAAAAGAGUUUUUCCCCAUAGGCUAAAGAGAUGUCUGUAAAUCAGCUGCUUCGGGUUCUCGCGAUAUGACGAGACAACGUCGGAUUCACAUGUUACACUAGAAUCUGGCGUAUAAGGUUAUCUUCCUCCCUCCAGUUUUAGGAAAGUUUGUUUCAUGUAAAUACUCCCCUUUGUAGGUAAGGCUGAACUGAAGUGAGUUAUCCUCCCUGCCAAGAAAGAGAAAUCUGACGAAAAAGCGGAUGAUGGCUUCAUUCAAAAUGUCUUUUAAAGAACAAGACGAAGGAUAAAGGCCAGAUCAACCGAUAGUAAGGUCUGGAGUUUGGUCAGCGGAGGCCAGGCGAGCGAGGCCUCUCAUUGGUCGGAGAGCAGCAGCAGGAGCAGCCAUCCGAGGCCCAGCAGCGGGGACAGGCGGAGGGGCUCGACUCCAUGGUCCGACAGGCCCGGAGAGGGAAGAGCGGAGUCUCCCUCGUCGCCCCACAAUCUGUCGUUCUCGUUUGCCUUGAAGAAAACGGACACGUGUCACGAUUAGUCAUCCAUUUAUUUUGGUAAAGUAAUAAAACAAAUUCUGUUAUCUGCCUCCAGAUCGCACACCGGGAACAUCUCCUCGGCAAAGGCGGCAACUCAUUUGGGAGGAGAGAUUUCGGGAGCGAGCACGUUAAUAAGUAGACUGAUUGUGAGACCAACCCCCAUGACGUCCUACAUUACGUAAUAGGAAUGAGGGCCAGCUGGCGCCCGUUACCCGAUUGCCGUGGGCAUGGCCGGUCAGCCAGCCGCACCUGCGGCGGAUGAGCCGUUCCGGGCAGUACAAGAGGAGCCGUGCAUCCGAGGCGGUUUGCGUCGUCGGCCAGAGACGGAGGAGUCGGCGCCGGAGGCCAACGGGCCCACCUACUAUCCCCGGUAUUCUGGAUAUCCUCUGUAUCCUCACCAGACCGUGGAGCCUCGCUCAAGUACUCGCAGCCCUGGAACCUCCCCACAGCAAAGGUUAUAAGGUCAAGAAGGAAAAAGUCCAGUGUUGCAGGAGGAAGGUUGCCUUCCUGGGAAGAGAAGUCUCUGCCACAGGUCAGACCCUAUCCAGCCAACAUCGAGAAUCCAUUCUCCAGCAUCCUCGCCCAGAAACAGUACAGGACAUGUUGUCUUUCCUGGGUUGGACGGGGUACAGCAGAAACUAUAUCCCUGAUUACACCCUCCUCAUCCAACCACUCGGAGACCUAGUGGCUGAAGCUGGAAACAGAAACCUAAAUGCUCUCCUCCAAUGGUCUCCUGAAGCUGAAACAGCCUUCUCCCUCACUAAGGAAGCACUCUCCCAGGCCACCAUAUUGGCUGCACCUGACUAAACCAUUCCAUUACAUCUCAAUGUUUCUGUCAAGAACGGACAUGUUCAUGCCGUUCUUUUCCAGAAAAAAGGGGGAGACAGGUUAGUGCUAACCUACCACAGCUCGAAAUUGGACACUAUUGAACAAGGACAAACAUCCUGUGCUCAACAUCUGGCUGCACUAUCGAAAGCUGUCCAAAAAACUACCCACCUGGUCACGCAUCACCCAUUGCAGAUCCACACAGACCACGGAGUGACCGCAUUCCUGCAGAGCAAUGCAUUCACGUUCGGUACCGAACGAAAACUGAAAAUACAGAAGGAGCUGAGACAACCCCACAUCACUUUUGUAACCUCAGCCAUCAAUUUGGCAGACAAAAUGGGACACGGAAAACCCCACAGCUGUGAAGAAGUGGCAGCACAAGAACUGAAACUCAGGCCAGACCUGAAAAACGAACCCCUGCCAGACGCACAACAUUGGCUGUACACAUAAUGGAUGCUGCUACAAAGGAGAAAAUGGAAAUGUGGCUGCUUAUGCGGUGAUGGAACAACACGCAGACGGUACACACACCGAAGUGGACUCGGGAAUAAUACCACAACCUGCAUCAGCACAAAUGGCUGAAAUAUUGGCACUCACAAAAGCACUGCAGUGGUCAGAAGGGAAAAGGGUCAAUAUCUACACAGACUCAGCAUACGCACAUGGAGCGGUGCAUAUAGAUGGACCACAAUGGCAGAAGAGGAAUUUCCUGACCACCAGCAAGGAUCAACUGGUAACCCUACUGGAAGCAGUAAAAGCGCCAGCAGCAGUGGCAAUAACGAAGUGCAAAGGACAUGACAAAGCAGACACAAGGUUGGCAAAAGGAAAUGAAGCAGCAGACCAAAGAGCCAAAGAAGUUGGAGGGUACACUCCCAGACAAAUGACACUACAACCAGAGGGAGGACCAACAGAACUAACAGCAGAAAACAUAAAAGACAUCCAAGAAGAGGCCAUAUGAACAUUCAGAACGGCAGAGAAAAGGAGCACGCAAGGAUAAAGACGGCAUUCGGAGGUCACACACUGGACACACAGUGGCUCCGGCACGGCCCCACCCGUGAGGAAACCAGAAGAACCCUUACAAACAUGAAAGAACUAUGGUGGCACCCAUGGAUGUCAGACAUCAUCACCAACUUUGUGGAAGAAUGUGACACAUGCAACAAACACAAUAACAAGAAACCAUUCAAGGCCCCAGCAGGAAAAUUCCCUGUGCCUACAGCCCCUUUCAAUCACCAUAGAUUUCACAGAUAUGGGGCCAGAGAACAGAGUAGGGGGAAAAAGGUACUGUAUCUCCUUGUAAUGGUAGACAGAUUCACAAAAUGGGUUGAAGCCAUAACAAGUAAAGAUGAAACGGCACAGACAGUUGUAAAAUGGCUGAAAAAUGAACUAGUACCCAGAUAUGGCGUACCACGCACAAUAAGAUCAGACAAUGGAUCUCAUUUUGCUAACAAACAUCUACAGAAAGUAGAAGAGGCAUUAGGGAUCAUACACAGAUAUGGGUCAGUUUAUCAUCCACAAUCACAGGGAUUAGUGGAGAGGGCCAACCAGACACUGAAAAGAAAAAUCGCUAAAGCAUGUGAAGGUACAAAACUAACAUGGGUAGAAGCACUGCCGUUAGCUCUUACGUCCAUGCGCAGUUCCCCAGGAUCUGACACACACUUAUCUCCUCAUGAGUUACUGACUGGAAGAAAAAUGCCAGGCCCACCCAGGGAAACAAGAAUAUGAUGACUACAUGAAGGCAUUGAACAGGUCGCCAGAGCACAGACCCCGGGAGAAGAGGAGCCCCGGAGCAGUGUCAAGGUAGGUGACUGGGUGCGAGCGAAAGUCCACAAGAGAAAGUGGACCGAGCCCAGGUGGCUCGGACCGUACGAAGUGAGGGAGGUUACGGCAGGUUAAGGCAGGAGCUGCUUGCCACCACCUGACACAUUGUGCCCCAGCACCUACACCUUCCCGUGAUUUGAGGGAAGUUAGAGCUGAUUUGAUCAACAAUGCCACUCCCGUUCAAACUUAGGCACUCAGGCCAAGGGAGUGAACCCAGACUAUGGAUGCACACGGAAGGUCUGGGUAGGUAUGCUAAUAUCUACAGCCAUACUCGUUAUGUUGUUAUUUUGGUUCAUAGAUACCAAAUAUGACAGAGGAAGAAGGGAGGUUCAGGUGACUAGAACAAAGGGACAGAUCACAUUGUCAUUUAUUAGGGGACACACAAGCACAGCCCUAUUAGACCUAUGCGACAUAGUGCCAUGCACCACCAAAAACAGAAGAGAGGAAGUCACACGCAUAUGCGUCACGACCAACUCAGACAAGUGGUGUAGCAGUUGGAAGUGUGCCAUAGCUAACACAGGCUCAGAUUGGGGAAAUGUGGGAUGUGAACCAUAUGAUACAACGCACCUUACGAUAACACAUAGGGACCUGAAAUCCAGACCGAGUGUAGGUAGAAAGCAGGAAGGACGACGCCAGGAACAGAAAUGUAAUCCUAUAUAUGUGACGUUGAAGGAUCCAAAACCAGAGGACGCAGGGACUUAUGUUAUGGGAUUGUAUGCUGAAGGGAAAGAUGAACACAGGUAUGGGUGUCCUGAAAGACUCUAAAGGGCCAUUAGUAAAAUAUUUGAACCUAGAGGACUUUAACAUUGAGGAAAGGUUGGAGAUGGAAACUGGUUUCACACCCUCAGGUAAUACGUGGCUCAAAAUGAUGAAAUGUACUGCUAGAACGCAUAAAAUGUCUGACUGUGUUAUCUGUGCUAAAGCAAGACCUCAUUUGGGGACAGUACCAUUCCCACUCUCACCUGUGGACGACCUUAUUGGUUAUAAUUGUAUGUUAAGUCUUUACAGUGAUGUGACCAUGGAAAGUGAUGUCUGCAGGACCCUGUCUCUCCUGUAUCCCAGAGUGCGUGCAAUACAACCGCCUCCAGGAGCGGUCGCCUACCCUGGUAACUAUACUUGCAUCACACAACCCAACAGCUCUACCAUGAAUGUGGGACACCUAGCUAAGAAGUUUCGUACGUACACCUACAACACAUCUUCGUUCGUUCCCAUGGGACACAGCCCCGCCUUAGACCAUCCUUACCUGCGCCUUAGUGUCCCUAUUAUUGCCGAUUACCAUGCUUCCUAUUAGCGCAGGGAAGCCAAUACAGUCUACCUACCACAAACAUUCCUUGAAGAGGGCUAAAAGAGACACCGACUUGGGUUUUGGUACACGGGGAGAUCCAAGCACACCGUUCGUCUAUAGAUAGUAGGGUGUAUAUAGAUGCAAUUGGAAUAACAAGGGGUGUACCAGAGGAGUUCAAAGCUCAGAAUCUGCAGAAUACUGCCCUGGAUAACUACAAACAAGAAUGCGGACUGGAUAAAUUAUAUAUACUACAACCAGCGGAGGUUUUUGAACCGGACUAGGGAUGGCCAGAGGGGUGUGUCCGAACAAUCGGCCGCCUCCUCACUCACGGCAUUUCAGAACCGUAUGGCGCUGGACAUGUUGUUGGCAGAAAAAGGGGGUGUGAAUGCCACAUGUUUGGAGAUGCCUGUUGUACAUUUAUUCCCAAUAAUACUGCCCCGGACGGUAGCAUCACUAGAGCCUCGGAGGGGUCGACCUCUCUAGCCAAUGAACUAGCAGAGAACGUUUUUGGCAAAUACAAAGCAAUUGUGCUCUCCGUGCUUAUGUCCGUGGCAGUGUUUGUGGGCAUAUUGGUGUGUUGUGGAUGCUGUUGCAUCCCUUGCACAGAUGGAUCGAUGUGGCUCUGACCAAAAAAGAUCCCCAGAAAGAUGCUCCUCCAGCCUACUCCAUGCCCCUGUCGGGGAUGGAGGAUGGUGACGAGACUGAUUCGGACAAUGAAGGAAGCGAAUCGCCAAUGUAAUGCUAUGCCAUAUUAAUCUCGCGGCCAAUUAUUUACCAGUUUGAGGGCCAUAUAAUCCUAAACUUAGUAGUAUUCACACCUGAGGUGUGAAAAGGGGGAUCUGUAAGAAA
Long non-coding RNA from Perca flavescens (yellow perch), 5329 nucleotides. RefSeq lists it as uncharacterized. The record is from RefSeq and is a predicted model, not a curated record. NCBI's taxonomy places the organism in Eukaryota, Metazoa, Chordata, Actinopteri, Perciformes, Percidae. The transcript has 6 exons.